AAUGGGCGCAAGCCUGAUCCAGCCAUGCCGCGUGAGUGAUGAAGGCCCUAGGGUCGUAAAGCUCUUUCGCCUGUGAAGAUAAUGACGGUAGCAGGUAAAGAGACCCCGGCUAACUCCGUGCCAGCAGCCGCGGUAAUACGGAGGGGGUUAGCGUUGUUCGGAAUUACUGGGCGUAAAGCGCGCGUAGGCGGAUUAGUAAGUCAGAGGUGAAAUCCCGGGGCUCAACCCCGGAACUGCCUUUGAUACUGCUAGUCUUGAGUUCGAGAGAGGUAAGUGGAAUUCCGAGUGUAGAGGUGAAAUUCGUAGAUAUUCGGAGGAACACCAGUGGCGAAGGCGGCUUACUGGCUCGAUACUGACGCUGAGGUGCGAAAGUGUGGGGAGCAAACAGGAUU
Molecule: ribosomal RNA, 392 nt
Filed under: uncultured Gammaproteobacteria bacterium
Lineage: Bacteria; Pseudomonadati; Pseudomonadota; Gammaproteobacteria
Description: bacterial SSU rRNA
Rfam family: Bacterial small subunit ribosomal RNA
Source: RNAcentral